AAAAAAAAAAAAAAAAAAGGCUCCCUUUGUCAGACUCAGGACUUCAGCCUCAUUUUCCAAGGCCUAGGCUUUAAGGGACUCUCAAAGCCCCUCACAACACAAGAACAUCUUAGGACUCCCUCUCUCUACCCCCCACCCCACCUCUCGCUAUGGCAACAGAGGAGUGUGUGCAGUAGCAAUCCCUCCUCCCUCUCUUCCUUCCCUAGAGGCCCACAGAAUGGCCAGAGGACACACUCAGUGAGGACAGAGUGGACUGUGGUCACCAGACUGGGGAGGAAGGAGAGAAGUGCAGCCCUGGCCCUGGAGCUACAGGAAGACAGGCUAUGGCUCCAUCUUCCUCUGAGAUAACCACAAGCUUCUCUACAAAGCUACCAGAGAGCCUCAGCAAAUGCUUGCAGCUUCAGUUUGGAAAGGCGCAAAUGGCAGCAGAUGGGGCAGUCUGUAACUGCCUCUUCCUACAGCUUCAGUGCUGCCAGCUUUCCACUGACCACUAGGUGAGGGACUGGUCUCAAAGCACCGAUGCUGACCAACAUCAGCCCCAGCACCCAUCUGCCAAAUACUCAGGUAAGGAGUGAUGACCUCCACA
RNAcentral lists this long non-coding RNA (586 nucleotides) under Fukomys damarensis (Damara mole-rat). RNAcentral describes it as "lncRNA (ENSFDAG00000028268.1)". Lineage: Eukaryota; Metazoa; Chordata; Mammalia; Rodentia; Bathyergidae. The record is from RNAcentral.